UUUACUUCGGUAAGAGCGGCGGACGGGUGAGUAACGCGUGGGUAACCUACCCUGUACACACGGAUAACAUACCGAAAGGUAUGCUAAUACGGGAUAAUAUAUUUGAGAGGCAUCUCUUAAAUAUCAAAGGUGAGCCAGUACAGGAUGGACCCGCGUCUGAUUAGCUAGUUGGUAAGGUAACGGCUUACCAAGGCGACGAUCAGUAGCCGACCUGAGAGGGUGAUCGGCCACAUUGGAACUGAGACACGGUCCAAACUCCUACGGGAGGCAGCAGUGGGGAAUAUUGCACAAUGGGCGAAAGCCUGAUGCAGCAACGCCGCGUGAGUGAUGAAGGCCUUCGGGUCGUAAAACUCUGUCCUCAAGGAAGAUAAUGACGGUACUUGAGGAGGAAGCCCCGGCUAACUACGUGCCAGCAGCCGCGGUAAUACGUAGGGGGCUAGCGUUAUCCGGAUUUACUGGGCGUAAAGGGUGCGUAGGCGGUCUUUCAAGUCAGGAGUGAAAGGCUACGGCUCAACCGUAGUAAGCUCUUGAAACUGGGAGACUUGAGUGCAGGAGAGGAGAGUGGAAUUCCUAGUGUAGCGGUGAAAUGCGUAGAUAUUAGGAGGAACACCAGUUGCGAAGGCGGCUCUCUGGACUGUAACUGACGCUGAGGCACGAAAGCGUGGGGAGCAAACAGGAUUAGAUACCCUGGUAGUCCACGCUGUAAACGAUGAGUACUAGGUGUCGGGGGUUACCCCCUUCGGUGCCGCAGCUAACGCAUUAAGUAC
This 767-nucleotide ribosomal RNA is filed under the name uncultured bacterium. Its description in RNAcentral is "bacterial SSU rRNA". It matches the Rfam family "Bacterial small subunit ribosomal RNA", at positions 79 to 867 of the family's 1533-position model. The record is from RNAcentral.